RNAcentral lists this long non-coding RNA (1726 nucleotides) under Macaca fascicularis (crab-eating macaque). Its description in RNAcentral is "lncRNA (ENSMFAG00000052678.1)". Lineage: Eukaryota; Metazoa; Chordata; Mammalia; Primates; Cercopithecidae. The record is from RNAcentral.
AUGGCGGGGCCGGGCCCGGGGCGCCCGGAACGCCCGCACCGCCCCGGGGGCUUCGGUCCGGCCCGGACGGACCCGGGGAUGCGAGCCCCGCCUGCUGAGGGGCGCGGCGCAGGGAACAGGGCCCGCGCCUCGGGAACUGCGCAGACUCGCGGGGUUCGGGGAGACCGAGGACGGGGCGCGGUCCGGCCCGCGCCGCUCAGGGCAGCUUCAAAACGGGCGCGUCCCAAACAACGGCGCCCGCGUUCACGUCACUGCGCCGCGUCAUCGCGACGACGUCAUCACCGGGCGACGCCGCCGCUGGCCCCGCGCGCGCACCGCGGCCCUCGGAGCCUUUGCAGGAGGCUUUGGUGGGGCCAAGCGGCUGUCAGGACGGAGGAGGGCUGUGGCGGCCGUCCCGCCCGAGCCCUUUCUGCGUUUAGGAAUUUAAGAGCAAUUAACCAUCCGAGCACCCCAGGUGGCGUGGACUCACGCGGCUCUUCAACCAAAUACCUGCUUCUGGAGUUGCCCUGACUGACCGUCUGAAAUUCAUGAUAAAAAAUGGAUGAAGGCCUGGUUUUCACAUUGUGGCCAAUGAAUGCUGUCCCAGUCUUGUUCUCCUGUCCGUUUACCGCGGUACGUAACACGGGCAGAACCUAAAAUUCACCUUUUGCGACAUUUUUUGUUUGUUUGUUUGUUUCUUUGUUUUUGAGAUGGAGUCUCGCUCUGUGGCCCAGGCUGGAGUGCAGUGGCUGGAUCUCAGCUCACCGCAACCUCUGCCUCCCGGGUUCACGCCAUUCUCCUGCCUCAGCCUCCUGAGUAGCUGGGACUACAGGCGCCGCCACCUCGCCCGGCUAGUUUUUUGUAUUUUCAGUAGAGACGGGGUUUCACCAUGUUAGCCAGGCUGGUCUCGAUCUCCUGACUUCCUGAUCCACCCACCUCAGCCUCCCAAAGUGCUGGGAUUACAGGCGUGAGCCGCUGCGCCCGGCCAAGAAUUAGUAUUAUGUUUAGCGCAAAAUUAGAAAUGCCUAUAUAUAUAUUUUAUAUAUGUUAGAAUAAAUUAUUAAUUUAUUAUUAUAAAUUAUUAAUUAAUAAUUUUAAUUAGGACACUCCCAAGUCUCAGUCUGUUUAGUAAAUACUUUUGUUUUCUUUUUUUAAGACUUGAGUUUCACUCUCGUUACCCAGGCUGGAGUACAGUGGUGUGAUCUCGGCUCACCUCAACCUCCGCCUCCCGGGUUCAAGCGAUUCUCCUGCCUCAGCCUCCCGAGUAGCUGGGAUGACAGGUGCCUGCCACCACACCUGGCUAAUUUUUGUGUUUUUAGUAGACACAGGGUUUCGCCGUCUCUACCAGACGCGAGGCUGGUCUUGAACUCCCGACCUCAAGCAAUCCACCCGCCUCGGCUUCCCAAAGUGCUGGGAUUCCAAAGGGUGUGUGAGCCCCCCGCACCCAGCCUAGCGUGUUCCUGUAACCGUAACAUCUCCGGGCGAGGAUCUCUGACAACGGGUCCGCCCGGACAGCACGUGGCCUGAUCUGAAGCCGGGCUGGAGACACGGUCUGGACCCCACGCUCCUGCCCAGGGCCGCCUCCAGCAGGAUCCCGCCCCUGGGAGCCGUGCAAACAUCAUAAAUCCUGCUAAUUGCCACGUUCCCCGCGGCCGGAAUCCGUGGUCUGUCUACAGUGGCCUCACAGUCUCCAGUCAAGAGUUUCAAUCUUCGCUUCUGGACAAAUAUUGCGGCGUCCGGCACAGCC